Molecule: ribosomal RNA, 433 nt
Filed under: uncultured bacterium
Lineage: Bacteria
Description: partial 16S ribosomal RNA
Rfam family: Bacterial small subunit ribosomal RNA
Source: RNAcentral
AGCGAACGCUGGCGGCAGGCCUAACACAUGCAAGUCGAACGGAUCCUUCGGGAUUAGUGGCGGACGGGUGAGUAACACGUGGGAACGUGCCCUUUGGUUCGGAACAACUCAGGGAAACUUGAGCUAAUACCGAAUGUGCCCUUCGGGGGAAAGAUUUAUCGCCAUUGGAGCGGCCCGCGUCUGAUUAGCUAGUUGGUGAGGUAACGGCCCACCAAGGCGACGAUCAGUAGCUGGUCUGAGAGGAUGAUCAGCCACACUGGGACUGAGACACGGCCCAGACUCCUACGGGAGGCAGCAGUGGGGAAUCUUGCGCAAUGGGCGAAAGCCUGACGCAGCCAUGCCGCGUGAAUGAUGAAGGUCUUAGGAUUGUAAAAUUCUUUCAGCGGGGACGAUAAUGACGGUACCCGCAGAAGAAGCUCCGGCUAACUUCGUG